Molecule: ribosomal RNA, 465 nt
Filed under: uncultured bacterium
Lineage: Bacteria
Description: partial 16S ribosomal RNA
Rfam family: Bacterial small subunit ribosomal RNA
Source: RNAcentral
GACGAACGCUGGCGGCGUGCUUAACACAUGCAAGUCGAACGGAAAGGCCCCUUUGGGGGUACUCGAGUGGCGAACGGGUGAGUAACACGUGAGUAACCUGCCCUUGACUUCGGGAUAACUUCAGGAAACUGGGGCUAAUACCGGAUAGGAAUCCUUGCUGCAUGGUGGGGGUUGGAAAGCUUCGGCGGUUUUGGAUGGACUCGCGGCUUAUCAGCUUGUUGGUGGGGUAGUGGCUUACCAAGGCUUUGACGGGUAGCCGGCCUGAGAGGGCGACCGGCCACAUUGGGACUGAGAUACGGCCCAGACUCCUACGGGAGGCAGCAGUGGGGAAUAUUGCACAAUGGGCGGAAGCCUGAGGCAGCAACGCCGCGUGCGGGAUGACGGCCUUCGGGUUGUAAACCGCUUUCAGCAGGGGCGAAGCUUGUGGUGACGGUACCUGCAGAAGAAGCACCGGCUAACUACGUG